Molecule: ribosomal RNA, 492 nt
Filed under: uncultured bacterium
Lineage: Bacteria
Description: partial 16S ribosomal RNA
Rfam family: Bacterial small subunit ribosomal RNA
Source: RNAcentral
AUUGAACGCUAGCGGCAUGCUUUACACAUGCAAGUCGAACGGUAACAGGCCUUCGGGUGCUGACGAGUGGCGAACGGGUGAGUAAUGCAUCGGAACGUACCCAGAGGUGGGGGAUAACGCAGCGAAAGCUGUGCUAAUACCGCAUGUGAUCUGAGGAUGAAAGCGGGGGACCGAGCAGCAAUGUUUGGCCUCGCGCCUUUGGAGCGGCCGAUGUCGGAUUAGCUAGUUGGUGGGGUAAAGGCCUACCAAGGCGACGAUCCGUAGCUGGUCUGAGAGGACGGCCAGCCACACUGGGACUGAGACACGGCCCAGACUCCUACGGGAGGCAGCAGUGGGGAAUUUUGGACAAUGGGCGCAAGCCUGAUCCAGCAAUGCCGCGUGCGGGAAGAAGGCCUUCGGGUUGUAAACCGCUUUUGGCAGGAACGAAACGGUGUCCGCUAAUACCGGGCGCUAAUGACGGUACCUGCAGAAUAAGCACCGGCUAACUACGUG